CCUACGGGUGGCUGCAGUGAGGAAUAUUGGUCAAUGGACGAGAGUCUGAACCAGCCAAGUAGCGUGAAGGAUGACUGCCCUAUGGGUUGUAAACUUCUUUUAUAUGGGAAUAAAAUGUUCCACGUGUGGGAUUUUGUAUGUACCAUAUGAAUAAGGCUCGGCUAACUCCGUGCCAGCAGCCGCGGUAAUACGGCGGAUCCGAGCGUUAUCCGGAUUUAUUGGGUUUAAAGGGAGCGUAGGUGGAUUGUUAAGUCAGUUGUGAAAGUUUGCGGCUCAACCGUAAAAUUGCAGUUGAAACUGGCAGUCUUGAGUACAGUAGAGGUGGGCGGAAUGCGUGGUGUAGCGGUGAAAUGCUUAGAUAUCACGAAGAACUCCGAUUGCGAAGGCAGUUCACUGGACUGCAACUGACACUGAGGCUCGAAAGUGUGGGUAUCAAACAGGAUUAGAUACCCUAGUAGUC
Molecule: ribosomal RNA, 460 nt
Filed under: uncultured bacterium
Lineage: Bacteria
Description: partial 16S ribosomal RNA
Rfam family: Bacterial small subunit ribosomal RNA
Source: RNAcentral